CAGGGAAAUAGCAUACACGCUACGAUAUACCCACCCUUCAUAGAGAAAUUCAGGCCACUCAUAAAAGAAGGCAGCGUGUACAACAUGACAUACUUUCGAGUUCGAGCAUCGAACAACUUGUACAAGCCAGUUCCAAAUGAUAUCAUGAUUACCUUCACGAAUUGGACAAAGUUAGAGCAGGUUAUUGAGAUUCCUCCUGCAUUUCCUACACUUACCUACUCCCUCACCCACAUAGAGCAGAUCCAUUCGCGCGUCGACCAUAAAGACUACUAUACAGAUGCCAUUGGGAUAGUUACUUCAGUCUCGAAUGUUUCGCCACAUCGCUCCAAAGGACAAUAAGCUUCUAGCUUGAAGAGGAACAUUUCCAUAUGCAGUGCAAGAGGUGCUUCGGUCAAUGUCGUGUUGUGGGGUGCCCAAGCCACCCUAUUCCCAGGAGAGCGCAUAUACGAAGAUGGGCAGAAUUCCCCACAAAUUGUGCUAUUUGUUGGCACACUUGUCAAAAAAUAUGCAGGUAUAUUGACGUAACACUUAGUCUUUUUCUGACUCCCAUACAUUUAUACCUUCUACCCUUUUUUAGAUGGGCUUUGUCUAACUGGAAGCUCACCAUGUAAGUGGUACAUCAAUCCAUCCAUUCCUGAGGCAGAACCCCUUAUGUCCAGGUAAUGCUAUCCUCUUGUUAGCAAAUAUAUGCACAUGUUGCCUGCUCUUGCCUUUUUCUAACAGAAUGCUUCUACAAAUACAAUGCAAACCAGCGCACGAGGUGAUCAUAAACCAGUGAAGUGGAAUGCAACUAUUACUUCGAGCCAGCUUAUAUCUCCUGUUGCUGAGGAGCAAAAGGUGUCGUACAUCAAGUAUCUCCAUCCCUUUGAAAACAAGGGAAAGGAAUUCUUGGUUACAGUCACUAUAAGGAAAAUUGAUAGCAAGUGGUGGUAUAACUCGUGCAGAAAAUGCGCCUGCAUAGCUGUCCCUCACGGAGACUCUUACAAAUGCACAAACCGUGAUUGUGCUAACAUUGAUAUGCCCGU
Molecule: long non-coding RNA, 1025 nt
Organism: Zea mays
Lineage: Eukaryota; Viridiplantae; Streptophyta; Magnoliopsida; Poales; Poaceae
Exons: 4
Source: RefSeq, a predicted model, not a curated record